Molecule: long non-coding RNA, 1208 nt
Organism: Sipha flava (yellow sugarcane aphid)
Lineage: Eukaryota; Metazoa; Arthropoda; Insecta; Hemiptera; Aphididae
Exons: 3
Source: RefSeq, a predicted model, not a curated record
AUUGCCGCCAACGGCGUUGUAAUUUAUUUAAUAAAAUAAAAUUAACUAUUUCGCGUUCACUCGUUCACUUUAUUUAGUUAAACUAAGACAAGUGGAUGUUAUUUAAUAUUUUAACUAAGACAUUGUUGUGUAGAAACAAACGCGAAGAGAAGAAAAAAUAAAUAUAUAAUAAUAUGAUAAUAAAAUGAUGAAAGUACGAACGAGCGCUCCACCGUGUGUGUACAUCGAACGACGACACGGAACUGAAAAUAUCAAUAUACAAUUUAUUUUGGGAGGGUUUAAGUAUUAUAAUCCAGAUAAAUUUCAUAAAACAAACUUUAAGUGUAUUUGAGCAGUAGGUUAGCCCCACCAUCUACCAUGUUAAUACGGGAUCCAACCAGCUGCCAUCAAAGUUCGGAUAUUCACCAUUAUGGCAUUUGGCCACGGGAUAGGGCAAGUGAUCCGAGUCGAGCGUGAGACGCGACAGGCCGCCCGGGCCACGUAAAAACGGGGUUCAUAACAACUGAGACCCGAAUUCGAGGGAUGGUCGCACCUCAAACCCACAAGCUUUCAUCGACGAAUUCGAAGUAAAUUAUGAUCGCCAAAAGGCCUCGUGGCAGCAGAAGCCGCUGCCCCGUGUAACCUUUGAAACAAGUUUGCUGUUCGGGGAGACGUAUUAAAUAUAUUCAUCUUCCCCUCGCCACAAGAGAGUAUUUAAAUACUGUUAUUCACAAUCGGCGGACCCACUCUAGUCGCAAGAAUCAGUGCAAAGCAGCGGCUAGGGAGAUAAAAUGAACAAUAUUAUCUGUUCCGAUUAAUCACAUGCAGUCCUCAGUUCUACCGUUCGCCGUCGUCACUUGUCACCGUCCACCAUGAAGUAACACGGUGUAUUCACGUCACAUGCACACAUGCUAGUUAAAUAUAAUAGAAACAAUAAUUCAUCAAAUAAUUAGAAUGACCAUGGUUAUAUUUUAAUACUUUUUGAAAAUGGGACAUUUUAUUUUCCCGAUGGUUUCGUGGUAGACAACAGGACUGUUUCGUUUAAAACAGAACGUGUCACCUCGGUUAUACAGUAAAAUCACGAUAGCUCAAAUAAAAUAUGGUCACUUUAAAUGCGUUGCAACACAAUUUACAUAAUAUACCUUUUACACAAAUUAAUAUGACCCACUCAAAGUUUGAAUUUUAUCUCAUUCUUUACCAGUGUUCUGUUCGAAAACACAUAAUGUAAA